UUUACAGGGUGAUGAACAUCGUAAUGAUCUCUUUUCCACUCACUGUUCAAGGCUUUCUGCUAUUCAAGGAGCAGUCAUUUUCUCUGUGGAGAGAUUCCAGGGCUGUACAUGGAGCUCCUUGAAGGGCAGCAGUCAGAGUUCUGGCCGGAUACCCGGAGACAACCUGCAAUUCUGUUGUGAUGAGCAAGUUUCAGCAGAAACAUCAGGGGAUGAAAUCACCCAGGGCUGUGCUUCCAGGGUUCUGAAGCAAAGGUAAGCGAACAGAAUCCCAUGGAAAUUUUCAUGAAAAGGAGCAGA
RNAcentral lists this long non-coding RNA (297 nucleotides) under Chinchilla lanigera (long-tailed chinchilla). RNAcentral describes it as "lncRNA (ENSCLAG00000027044.1)". The record is from RNAcentral. Lineage: Eukaryota; Metazoa; Chordata; Mammalia; Rodentia; Chinchillidae.